CCGCCGGGAUGGCCACGGCCGCCCGGGGCGACCUACCUGUGGUCAGCCGUGCACCGACCUCCUUCGGGGAACACACGACCAGGUUCGCGAAACAGGGCGUAGUGAGGCCAAGGGCCGACAUCGAGACCUGCGCGCGAC
RNAcentral lists this non-coding RNA (138 nucleotides) under unclassified sequences. Its description in RNAcentral is "Bacteriophage Diversity-Generating Retroelement RNA". It matches the Rfam family "Bacteriophage Diversity-Generating Retroelement RNA". The record is from Rfam by way of RNAcentral.